CCUAAGGUAGCGAAAUUCCUUGUCGGGUAAGUUCCGACCUGCACGAAUGGCAUAAUAAUGGCCACACUGUCUCCUCCCGAGACUCAGUGAAAUUGAAAUGUUUGUGAUGAUGCAAUCUCCCCGCGGCUAGACGGAAAGACCCCAUGAACCUUAACUGUAGCUUUGCAUUGGACUUUGAACCGAUCUGUGUAGGAUAGGCGGGAGGCUUUGAAGAAUGGACGCCAGUUCAUUCGGAGCCGUCGUUGAAAUACCGCCCUGAUUUGUUUGAGGUUCUAACCUGGGCCAGUAAUCCUGGCUGGGAACCGUGCAUGGUGGGCAGUUUGACUGGGGCGGUCUCCUCCUAAAGGGUAACGGAGGAGUGCGAAGGUACGCUAAUCACGGUCGGAAAUCGUGAGGAUACUGCAAUGGGAAAAGCGUGCCUGACUGCGAGACAGACAAGUCGAGCAGAUGCGAAAGCAGGUCAUAGUGAUCCGGUGGCUUCUGUAUGGAAGGGCCAUCGCUCAACGGAUAAAAGGUACUCUGGGGAUAACAGGCUGAUACCGCCCAAGAGUUCAUAUCGACGGCGGUGUUUGGCACCUCGAUGUCGGCUCAUCUCAUCCUGGGGCUGUAGCCGGUCCCAAGGGUAUGGCUGUUCGCCAUUUAAAGAGGUACGUGAGCUGGGUUUAAAACGUCGUGAGACAGUUUGGUCCCUAUCUGCCGUGGGCGUUGGAAGAUUGACGGGGGCUGCUCCUAGUACGAGAGGACCGGAGUGGACGCACCUCUGGUGUACCGGUUGUCACGCCAGUGGCAUUGCCGGGUAGCUAAGUGCGGAAGAGAUAACCGCUGAAAGCAUCUAAGCGGGAAACUUGCCUGAAGAUGAGUCUUCCCGGAGGUUGAACCUCCCUCAAGAGUCGUCCGAGACCAGGACGUCGAUAGGUCAGGUGUGUAAGCGCUGUAAGGCGUUGAGCUAACUGAUACUAAUUGCUCGUGAGGCUUGAUCCU
RNAcentral lists this ribosomal RNA (981 nucleotides) under human gut metagenome. RNAcentral's name for it is "bacterial LSU rRNA". It matches the Rfam family "Bacterial large subunit ribosomal RNA", at positions 1950 to 2925 of the family's 2925-position model. The record is from RNAcentral.